AUGGCUCAGGAUGAACGCUAGCUACAGGCUUAACACAUGCAAGUCGAGGGGCAGCAUUGGAGUAGCAAUACUCAGAUGGCGACCGGCGCACGGGUGAGUAACACGUAUCCAACCUGCCGCUUACUCGGGGAUAGCCUUUCGAAAGAAAGAUUAAUACCCGAUGGUAUAAAGAGUUCGCAUGUUCUCUUUAUUAAAGAAUUUCGGUAAGCGAUGGGGAUGCGUUCCAUUAGAUAGUUGGCGGGGUAACGGCCCACCAAGUCUACGAUGGAUAGGGGUUCUGAGAGGAAGGUCCCCCCACAUUGGAACUGAGACACGGUCCAAACUCCUACGGGAGGCAGCAGUGAGGAAUAUUGGUCAAUGGACGAGAGUCUGAACCAGCCAAGUAGCGUGCAGGAAGAAUGUCCCUAUGGAUUGUAAACUGCUUUUGCAGGGGAAUAAAGUGCAUCACGUGUGAUGUUUUGUAUGUACUCUGCGAAUAAGGAUCGGCUAACUCCGUGCCAGCCGCCGC
This 508-nucleotide ribosomal RNA is filed under the name uncultured bacterium. Its description in RNAcentral is "bacterial SSU rRNA". It matches the Rfam family "Bacterial small subunit ribosomal RNA", at positions 19 to 518 of the family's 1533-position model. The record is from RNAcentral.